CAAUAGCGUAUAUUAACGUUGUUGCAGUUAAAAAGCUCGUAGUUGGAUUUCGGUUAAGAGCGACCGGUCCGCCGUUUGGUGUGUACUGGUUGGUUUUAACUUCCUGUAGAGGACGUGCUCUGGGUUUAACGACCUGGACUCGGAGUCUACGUGGUUACUUUGAAAAAAUUAGAGUGUUCAAAGCGGGCUUACGCUUGAAUAUUUCAGCAUGGAAUAACACUAUAGGACUCCUGUCCUAUUUCGUUGGUCUCGGGACGGGAGUAAUGAUUAAGAGGAACAGUUGGGGCAUUCGUAUUUCAUUGUCAGAGGUGAAAUUCUUGGAUUUAUGAAAGACGAACUUCUGCGAAAGCAUUUGCCAAGGAUGUUUUCAUUAA
RNAcentral lists this ribosomal RNA (374 nucleotides) under uncultured eukaryote. RNAcentral's name for it is "partial 18S ribosomal RNA". It matches the Rfam family "Eukaryotic small subunit ribosomal RNA", at positions 592 to 976 of the family's 1831-position model. The record is from RNAcentral.